GACGAACGUUGGCGGCGUGCUUAAUACAUGCAAGUCAACUGAAGCGCCGGUAGUAAUACUGGCGUGGAGGUGGCGCACGGGUGAGUAACACGUAGGUAAUCUGCCUUCAGGUCUGACAUAACUCCGAGAAAUCGAAGCUAAUAUCAGAUGAUGCAGCGGCUUGACAUCAAGACAGUUGUUAAAGCUUCGGCGCCUGAAGAUGAGCCUGCGCUGAUUAGCUAGUUGGCGGGGUAACGGCCCACCAAGGCUUCGAUCAGUAGCUGGUCUGAGAGGAUGAUCAGCCACACUGGAACUGAGACACGGUCCAGACUCCUACGGGAGGCAGCAGUAAGGAAUAUUGCUCAAUGGGAGAAAUCCUGAAGCAGCAACGCCGCGUGAAGGAUGAAGGGUCUUUUG
This 396-nucleotide ribosomal RNA is filed under the name uncultured bacterium. RNAcentral describes it as "bacterial SSU rRNA". It matches the Rfam family "Bacterial small subunit ribosomal RNA", at positions 28 to 421 of the family's 1533-position model. The record is from RNAcentral.